GUCGAAUCACGGCAUCAAAACGGUUCCAGUCAAGGUAGAUUCAGUGUCUUCCAUCGGGGCAAUUGCACCAGUAAAACGGUUCUGCGUCUCUCAUGUGCACAGCAGCAGGCUCGAGCCAUGGAUUGAUAUCAUCAUCAUCAUCAGCAGCAUCAGAUGAUGAUGAUGAAGAAUUGCAUCCAAACUCGGAUCCUGCAUUAGGAGUCGGUGUAAUCCCGCCUGCGAAAUAUAAUCAUGCCCGCCGGGAGAUUCCUCACUGCGGGACAUGGCACGUUCCAGACACGUUGACAGAAAGUUAAAAAUACUAUCAAUGCAUUUACAUGUGUAUAUUAUUAGCGUUGGCCUUGCAGUUCUCGGAUUGUACUGAGUAGCGAAUCCUGUCUGUAUGCACAAAUGUUCAAUGAACC
RNAcentral lists this long non-coding RNA (404 nucleotides) under Physcomitrium patens. Its description in RNAcentral is "long non-coding RNA (PPAT_LNC013134)". Lineage: Eukaryota; Viridiplantae; Streptophyta; Bryopsida; Funariales; Funariaceae. The record is from RNAcentral.